ACAUGCAAGUCGAGCGGGGAACAUUGAAAGCUUGCUUUAUUGGGCGUCGACCGGCGCACGGGUGCGUAACGCGUAUCCAACCUGCCCCCAACUCCGGAAUAGUCCCCCGAAAGGGGGUUAACGCCGGAUGCUCCGACAUGACGCAUGUCGUGUUGGGAAAGAUUCAUCGGUAUGGGAUGGGGUCGCGUCCUAUCAGGUAGUCGGCGGGGUAACGGCCCACCGAGCCUACGACGGGUAGCCGGCCUGAGAGGGCGACCGGCCACAUUGGGACUGAGAUACGGCCCAGACUCC
This 291-nucleotide ribosomal RNA is filed under the name uncultured Actinomycetes bacterium. RNAcentral describes it as "uncultured actinobacterium partial 16S ribosomal RNA". It matches the Rfam family "Bacterial small subunit ribosomal RNA", at positions 53 to 339 of the family's 1533-position model. The record is from RNAcentral. Lineage: Bacteria; Bacillati; Actinomycetota; Actinomycetes.